UUUUGGUUCCACAGUUUCACAACUGAUGGAUUUUAUUGUUUUUUAAAUAUAGCAAUGAUAAUGUAAAAGCUUCUAACAAUAACAAUCAAGUUCUGUUCUUACCUUACCCCAAAAGUCUUCUAACUUCUAAUACAUCGUUCAGCUCCUGAUCUGUCUUGCCCAGAAUCUCCGCUCCGCUUUCCCUAUCUUUUACAUGGGGUUUUAUGCCCCUUAACUGCCCAAGCCAAUGCCUCCUUUGACUACAGACACACAAUAAAUCCUCCCCCUUACACAUGACAUUUAAGCAAACACAUUGUUACAUAACACAUCGUCUCCUUUACAUGUGAUGUUUAGACAGAGUCAGGUAACACAUUGUCUCCUUUACAUAGAGUCAGGUAACACAUUGUCUCCUUUACAUGUGAUGUUCAGACAGAGUCAGGUAACACAUUGUCUCCUUUACAUGUGAUGUUCAGACAGAGUCAGGUAACACAUUGUCUCCUUUACAUGUGAUGUUCAGACAGAGUCAGGUAACACAUUGUCUCCUUUACAUGUGAUGUUCAGACAGAGUCAGGUAACACAUUGUCUCCUUUACAUGUGAUGUUCAGACAGAGUCAGGUAACACAUUGUCUCCUUUACAUGUGAUGUUCAGACAGAGUCAGGUAACACAUUGUCUCCUUUACAUGUGAUGUUUAGACAGAGUCAGGUAACACAUCGGUUCUAUUUUUGUUUAUUUUUUAUUAUAUAUGUAAUAUAUAAAUACAGUUGAAGUCGGAAGUUUACAUACACAUAAGUUGGAGUCAUUAAAACUCGUUUUUCAACCACUCAACAAAUUUCGUGUUAACAAACUAUAAUUUUUUGGCAAGUCGAUUAGGACAUCUACUUUGUGCAUGACACAAGUCAUUUUUCCAACAAUUGUUUACAGACAGAUUAUUUCACUGUAUCACAAUUCCAGUGGGUCAGAAGUUUACAUACACUAAGUUGACUGUGCCUUUAAACAGCUUGGAAAUUCCAGAAAAUGAUGUCAUGGCUUUUGAAGCUUCUGAUAACAUAAUUGACGUAAUUUGAGUCAAUUGGAGGUGUACCUGUGGAUGUAUUUCAAGGCCUACCUUCAAAUGCAGUGCCUCUUUGCUUGACAUCACGGGAAAAUCGAAAGAAA
RNAcentral lists this long non-coding RNA (1135 nucleotides) under Salmo salar (Atlantic salmon). RNAcentral describes it as "lncRNA (ENSSSAG00000104197.1)". Lineage: Eukaryota; Metazoa; Chordata; Actinopteri; Salmoniformes; Salmonidae. The record is from RNAcentral.